ACUCUCUCCAAGGAGCUCGGCAAAUUACCACCGUAACUUCGGAAGAGGGUGGGCCCUCCGUAGGUGUAGUCGUACAGACGAAGCCGAUGAGGGUUGCAGAGAAAUGGCGGUAGCGACUGUUUACCAAAAACACAGGACUCUGCGAAGACGACAAGUCGACGUAUAGGGUCUGACUCCUGCCCGGUGCUGGAAGGUUAAGGGGAUUCGUCAGCCGCAAGGCGAAGCGAUGAUCCGAAGCCCCAGUAAACGGCGGCCGUAACAAUAACGGUCCUAAGGUAGCGAAAUUCCUUGUCGGGUAAGUUCCGACCUGCACGAAUGGAGUAACGACUUCCGCGCUGUCUCGGAGAGGGACUCAGCGAAAUUGAAAUAGCUGUGCCGAUGCAGUUUACCCGCAGCAAGACGGAAAGACCCCGUGAACCUUUACUACAACUUGACAGUGACACUAGGGAUUGACUGUGUAGGAUAGGUGGGAGCCUUUGAAACCGGGCCGCUAGGUUCGGUGGAGGCAACGGUGAAAUACCACCCUGUUGAUUUCUGGUGUCUAACCGUGUCCCAUAAUCUGGGAUCGGGACACUGUCUGGUGGGUAGUUUGACUGGGGCGGUCGCCUCCCAAAGCGUAACGGAGGCGCGCGAUGGUUCCCUCAGCCCGAUUGGAAACCGGGCGGCGAGUGCAAUGGCGUAAGGGAGCUUAACUGCGAGACAGACAUGUCGAGCAGGUGCGAAAGCAGGUCAUAGUGAUCCGGUGGUUCUGAAUGGAAGGGCCAUCGCUCAACGGAUAAAAGGUACUCCGGGGAUAACAGGCUUAUCUCCUCCAAGAGUUCACAUCGACGAGGAGGUUUGGCACCUCGAUGUCGGCUCAUCGCAUCCUGGGGCUGGAGCAGGUCCCAAGGGUUUGCUGUUCGCCAAUUAAAGCGGUACGCGAGCUGGGUUCAAAACGUCGUGAGACAGUUUGGUCCCUAUCUGCUGUGGGCGUAGGAUACUUGAGAGGAUCUGUCCUUAGUACGAGAGGACCGGGAUGGAGACACCUCUGGUGUACCAGUUGUCACGCCAGUGGCAUCGCUGGGUAGCCAUGUGUCGAUUGGAUAACCGCUGAAAGCAUCUAAGCGGGAAACCGACCUCAAGAAUAGGUAUCCCGGGGGAAACCCCCUGAAGACCCGUCGAAGACUACGACGUUGAUAGGCCGGGUGUGUAAGCGUGGCAACACGUUGAGCUAACCGGUACUAAUUGGUCGUGCGGCUUACUUUA
Molecule: ribosomal RNA, 1245 nt
Filed under: metagenome
Description: bacterial LSU rRNA
Rfam family: Bacterial large subunit ribosomal RNA
Source: RNAcentral